Molecule: transfer RNA, 91 nt
Filed under: Candidatus Xianfuyuplasma coldseepsis
Lineage: Bacteria; Bacillati; Mycoplasmatota; Mollicutes; Candidatus Izemoplasmatales; Candidatus Izemoplasmataceae
Description: Xianfuyuplasma coldseepsis tRNA-Ser
Rfam family: tRNA
About the family: Transfer RNA (tRNA) molecules are approximately 80 nucleotides in length. Their secondary structure includes four short double-helical elements and three loops (D, anti-codon, and T loops).
Source: RNAcentral
GGAGGAAUACCCAAGUGGCUGAAGGGACUCGUCUCGAACACGAGUAGGUCGGUAACACGGCGCAAGGGUUCAAAUCCCUUUUCCUCCGCCA